GGGGCUGAUUAGGAUUCGACGGAAUUCAAGACGCCCGAGGUGCAUGUCGAGGUGCGGUUGGCCUCGUAAAAAAGCCGCAAUUUAAAGUAAUCGCAAACGACGAUAACUACGCUCUAGCGGCAUAAUAGCCCGCUAGCACUUCUCCGGUGUAUGUCUGUGGACCCGGUUCUGAAGUGUCACCCUACACAGACUCGCUGCGGAAACCCUGGCCGGGGUUGAAGGGCUAAAACUAAGCGGCCUCGCCUUUGCAGAUCGUGUUCGUCCGAGCUGUAUAAGGUUAACUAAAAGACGAUACUAAGCAUGUAGUACCAAAGGUCGAGGCUUUUCGGACGGGGGUUCAAAUCCCCCCAGCUCCACCA
This 359-nucleotide transfer-messenger RNA is filed under the name Alteromonadaceae. RNAcentral's name for it is "Pseudoalteromonas lipolytica_C Standard tmRNA". It matches the Rfam family "transfer-messenger RNA". Rfam says of the family: Bacterial tmRNA, also known as 10Sa RNA or SsrA, is named for its dual tRNA and mRNA-like properties. Its role is to liberate the mRNA from a stalled ribosome. To accomplish this part of the tmRNA is used as a reading frame that ends in a translation stop signal. RNAcentral also lists the same sequence under 1 other name. The record is from RNAcentral. Lineage: Bacteria; Pseudomonadati; Pseudomonadota; Gammaproteobacteria; Alteromonadales.